ACUCAAAGGAAUUGACGGGGGCCCGCACAAGCGGUGGAGCAUGUGGUUUAAUUCGACGCAACGCGAAGAACCUUACCUAGGCUUGACAUGGCCGGGAAAGCCAGGGGAAACCUUGGCCCCUCUUCGGAGUCCGGUCACAGGUGCUGCAUGGCUGUCGUCAGCUCGUGUCGUGAGAUGUUGGGUUAAGUCCCGCAACGAGCGCAACCCUUGUCACUAGUUACCAGCGGGUAAAGCCGGGCACUCUAGUGAGACUGCCGGUGCCAAACCGGAGGAAGGUGGGGAUGACGUCAAGUCAUCAUGGUCCUUACGUCUAGGGCUACACACGUGCUACAAUGGACGGGACAACGGGUUGCCAACCCGCAAGGGGGAGCCAAUCCCACAAAUCCGUCCUCAGUUCGGAUUGUCGUCUGCAACUCGACGGCAUGAAGCUGGAAUCGCUAGUAAUCGCGGAUCAGCUACGCCGCGGUGAAUACGUUCCCGGGCCUUGUACACACCGCCCGU
Molecule: ribosomal RNA, 501 nt
Filed under: uncultured bacterium
Lineage: Bacteria
Description: partial 16S ribosomal RNA
Rfam family: Bacterial small subunit ribosomal RNA
Source: RNAcentral